GACGAACGCUGGCGGCGUGCUUAACACAUGCCAGUCGAACGGACAGGCCCUGCUCUUGCGGGGCGCUCGUGUGGCGCAAGGGUGAGUAAAACGUGAGUAAACUGCCCUUAACUUUGGGAUAAAUUUUGGAAAAUGGGGCUCUUAUCCGAUAGGAGCUCCUGCUGCAUGUUGGGGGUUGGAAAGUUUCGGCGGUUGGGGAUGGACUCGCGGCUUAUCAGCUUGUUGGUGGGGUAGUGGCUUACCAAGGCUUUGAAGGGUAGCCGGCCUGGGAGGGUGACCGGCCACAAUGGGACUGAGAGACGGCCCAGACUCCUACGGGAGGCAGCAGUGGGGAAUAUUGCACAAUGGGCGGAAGCCUGAUGCAGCAACGCCGCGUGCGGGAUGACGGCCUUCGGGUGGUAAACCACUGUCUCCGUUGACGAAGCGGGAGUGACGGUAAUGGGUAAAGAAGCACCGGCUAACUACGUG
RNAcentral lists this ribosomal RNA (468 nucleotides) under uncultured bacterium. Its description in RNAcentral is "partial 16S ribosomal RNA". It matches the Rfam family "Bacterial small subunit ribosomal RNA", at positions 28 to 507 of the family's 1533-position model. The record is from RNAcentral.